CGGGCAUAUCACAUUAAAACACUGGUUCCCGUACGAUCAGCGAAGUUAAGCAACGGCGAGCCUGGUCAUUACCAGAGUGACGACUUGGGAAUAUCAGGUGCUGUCAU
Molecule: non-coding RNA, 107 nt
Organism: Acanthosepion pharaonis
Lineage: Eukaryota; Metazoa; Mollusca; Cephalopoda; Sepiida; Sepiidae
Source: the annotation of a GenBank genome assembly